Non-coding RNA from Wallemia ichthyophaga EXF-994, 80 nucleotides. The record is from the annotation of a RefSeq genome assembly. NCBI's taxonomy places the organism in Eukaryota, Fungi, Basidiomycota, Wallemiomycetes, Wallemiales, Wallemiaceae.
GCAUUGAUGGGGUAGUGGUAACCUCGAUCGUUCCCACUAGGAAACUUGAUCGGCCCCGGGUUCGAUUCCCGGUUGAUGCA